GCCCGGGCUUAAUAAACCAAACAGAAAACUAAAAGAAUAAAAUAAAAUAAAAUGUCCAAUUUGUACAGUCCAUGUUACAAAAGAAAUAAAGCCCAAAAGGCAAAUUAUACCCCAUAAACCCAUUGCACAUAUGGCCCAACACCUAAUACCCCAUUAGCCUAAAUCAAACCCAAAUACCAACACUACCCGGCAGACCCAACCUGUUACAUGACAAACCCAUUUCUAAAAGCCUACUCCUAAGACCCAAGAUGUACAAGGCCUAAAUGGUCCAAGUUGUUAACAGAACACGGAAAGCCCUAGGGUUUCAGAAACCCUAGGCGCCGCAAAUGGAAAGCUCUAGAAGCUAAACACUGUAAUCAAUGCGUCGGUUCGUCUUGCACCAUUAGCAUCGUGAUUCCAGGCCGUGAUUUCAGGCUUCGAGUCAUGCCCGAGUCAACGCCGGUGUUUGUUGUUGCUAAAUCUCCUCGAUCACCUGCAAAAAUGGAAAGAAACGAUAGAAACAAAACAAAUAUGGCAGGGAAUAACUUUAAAAUAUGCAAAAUACUAUGUACAGUGGCUAUAAAAGCCCAAAUCAGAAUGAUGUAAAAGGGGGGAUUUUUUUUGGGCAGAAAAGAAAAAGAACACACAAAUAUUCACAGAAGAAAUAAAAAAAAAUCGUUCAUUUUCCAAGAGGUGAUAUUUUGUUUUUUUUUUCAUGUAUAAAUAUACAGAUCCAUUUAUUUACUUUCUAUUUUGCAAAAACUGUAAAAAAACGAAAAGAAAAAGGGUUACCUAUGUUUUACCCAGAAACGAAGGCUUUUAGCCUUCUAAACCGCCGUACUCGGCGAGAUUGGUGACGGCGCGUAGACGCGUAGGGGACCUGAUGACGGAGACACCACGGCGCUCCGAGGGUCUGCCCUCAACUCUCUUUCAGAGAGUUUUCUCUCAUUUUUUUAAGGCAAGUUUAAAAAUGAUUUCAGGGCUAAAUUUUGG
This 972-nucleotide long non-coding RNA is filed under the name Gossypium barbadense (sea-island cotton). RNAcentral describes it as "long non-coding RNA (GBAR_LNC006262)". Lineage: Eukaryota; Viridiplantae; Streptophyta; Magnoliopsida; Malvales; Malvaceae. The record is from RNAcentral.